This is a long non-coding RNA of Osmerus eperlanus (European smelt), 342 nucleotides long. RefSeq lists it as uncharacterized. Lineage: Eukaryota; Metazoa; Chordata; Actinopteri; Osmeriformes; Osmeridae. The transcript is spliced from 3 exons. The record is from RefSeq and is a predicted model, not a curated record.
AAGAAAACGAAGAGCCACAGCGAGAUUCAUCUUUCGUUUUUGCCAGAGCGAUACAAACCCUUAGUAGAAGAGGACGAGGCAAGAGAAAAAGCCAAAGAAGCAAAGAAGAAAAAGAAAGCAACAUAUAAAAAAAUAAGAAAGAUACUUUCAACAAUAGAAAUCCCAAACGAGUAUCCUUACAGUACUAAUUUCAUAUAACUUGGAAUGUUGGCAAGGUCUUUCACUACAGCUGGAAGUGUUUGAUUCUGGGCCUACACAGCUUUACAGCAGGGUACUCCACUCCCAUCUCUGCAGCUGCCAACCUCGUCCCAGACUUCCACGCUGGCAAGGCCAAACGCUGAG